This is an RNA transcript of Dinoponera quadriceps, 7105 nucleotides long. It is a transcript of the gene named RNA exonuclease 1 homolog, with no coding region annotated. NCBI's taxonomy places the organism in Eukaryota, Metazoa, Arthropoda, Insecta, Hymenoptera, Formicidae. The transcript is spliced from 11 exons. The record is from RefSeq and is a predicted model, not a curated record.
UUUGAAAACAUUAGCGAAACCAGUCGAUUCUUCAACAAGAAAAAAGUCGAACAUCGAUUCAUCGAUCGAUUAUCGUUUUUCAUUCAUGAACGAAUGACGGCAAGCUGAAGCCAUAUAUUAGAAGGAAGGUAGGAAGGAAGGAAGGAAGGAAUGACGGCGUAACAUAACCUAUCAUCGUGAUCCGAACGAGCGUGUCAGCAGAGUUUCGUUCGUGUCGCAUUGAUUUCUUUUGCACAAAGGACGUAACGAAAUCGCGGUUCCUGUUGAGCAGAUCGAUCGGCUGGCAUGUCAGGUGGAAUCAACGACGCGACAUUAUCUGACUCGGUCACGGUGAGCGCCUAAUUGCGGCGUACAUCGGCAUACACGUACAUCGCACAUCCGUCACGAAGAAUGGCCUCCCCGAAGUGCGGAGAGCAAUGAACCAGUUAUUAUGUUGCCGUCGACCGGUUACUUCAAGACGAUAAAUUGCCCGUUUUAUGACAGCGGAUCGUGCGAUCGUCCUUACUGUCACUUCAAACAUGCUAGACGUGAAGAUGGAGGAAGCUCAGCAGGAGUGGCCGGAAUGGUGGAGGCCCAGACGACAGGCCAGACGCAGGAGAACAAAACCUCCUCUGUGGUGACAUCGAAUUCUCACAUGCUUGAACAUCUGGUAACGGAAGCUGUAAAGAAGGUGCUCGCGGAUCAGGAAGUCACAGAUGCACAGAAGUUUCCUGAGAACAUUGUCUCUCAGGUGGUCGAGGAGCUCAAACCGACUUUGGCCUCCAGCUCCACUGCUUCUAUGCGCAAUACUACACCAAAUAUAGUAGGGAAGCACAUUGCGAUUCCCACGCCUAUCACGAAGCCGGUGGCUUGCGUUUAUAAUCCCACGCCGAUAUCGGAACUGAAGAAACGUCAUAUACCGGUGAUCUCGUAUAUGCCGACCAGAGAAAGUAGAGUGGCUGUGAAACGUAAGUGCUCUCCUGAGAGAGCUAAACCAUGGUUGAGUGUAGUUCAAGAAUCCAGCAGUUCUCAACAGCCGGAGAUUACAUACAAACCCACUGCUAUAAUCAACACAACCGACCAGGAUGCCGUACCAGGUUACAUACCUACUUUCAAGUCGGAUUCGUCCACAUCGAAUUCGUACGACGAUAGUAACUCAAACGAUUAUCAGUCGAAGUUCAAGGAAGCGUAUUAUCCAAAGUCUAAGAAGAGGAGGGAGGAAUAUGUUCCUAAGAUGGUUAAAGCGCCGUUGAAAACGGCUCAACAAUUGGACGACGUUACCGUGGAUCAAUUUGAACCGGAACUUGAUAUAAUCGACGAGAUCUUUACUGCCAGUCACACUGCUCCAAACGUAUUGGGACAAGUCAAAGUGUUGUCCAGCGAAGAUUCACAAGAUUACUCUUUGGACAUUGAACCGAAAUUCUCAGACGAUGAACUAGUUGAAGAUAUAUCCAAAGAUGAAGGUGGCGCAAGUGUCAAGAAAGACGAAGAAACUAUGGACGUGGACGAGAAAGGGAAAGAGAAUUUACAACAUGCGAAGAUUGAUGAGCAAACAAGCAAUAAGGGUAAUAAGGUGCGCAAUAAUCAUUGCGACGUUAAAACGGGUGAUACAAAAAGUAGCAAUAAGUCUAAGCAAUACAAGGGAAGUGACGCGAACAAGUCUUCGGAUAAAAGGAAAGAAGGUGUUAAAGAGGACACCAAUAAGGAGAAAGAGGCACAGAGCAGUCACAGUAAAAGUAAGAAGAAAGAUAAAAGAGAUCAUCACAGUUCUGAGAGGAAGGACAAAGACAAGUCUGGACAUAAAUCGGAUUCCAAAAGUAGGCACCAUUCCUCCUCUAACAAAGACAAGGAUAAAAGGCGAAGCAGCCGUGACAGUAAGGAAUCUUCGCACAAAGAUAGAGAUCACUCCCGGAGGGAUAAACAUAGCUCUCCGAAGAGAGAUCGAGAUGAUCACCACAAAUCCAGCCGGCACGACAAGCACAAGUCCAAAACUAGCUCCAGCUCCAAGUCGAGCAAACAUACAGCGAGCAAAAGCGAUAAGAAACACCAGUCGGGAUCGGGUCGGAGACCUAGCACCUCCUCCAGGAAAUCUAGUGAGCGCAAAGAGAGUAGCAGCGAAAGAAAUUCAUCUGACGGAUCUGUUGAUAGUCCUUUGAAUAACACUCAUCCUUUCAUAGACGACGAAAUUCUAGAACUGUCAGAUUCGGAUCACGAUGUACAGGAAGAAUGCCUAAAGAUUUUUCAGGAAUAUCAAGUGUCCGAACAGCCGAAGGUAGUGUCGAUCAAAGAAUCGACGAGACGCGAGCCCGAGGAUGUGGAAGAGGUCGGUAGGAAGAGGGUCGCGCACCCCUCGGCGGCCACGAGCGUCACCAAACACGUAGGUCCUAGUCAGCCACCGAAGAAAUUGAUCAAUCCGCAGCAGAAAAUGUACGAGCGGUGGCGUCUAUUGCGAGAAGCGGCGGCUGAGAAGGCCGCGGCGAAGUUAGCAGCUGAAGCGAAGGCUCAGGUAUCCUCCACGUCGGCACUUAAACUCUCCAGUAACGUACGCAAGGAGUCCACCGAGUCCACUUCGUCGAUAAGCAACAGUCACUCACAGCUGAAUGGGAAUGGUCGCGUUAGAAUCGCUCACGUUCCGUACGCGAAGUCUCUCGCGAUGGAGAAGAAGAAAGUCGCAGUGAUGUCGGCGAAAGGCAAGGACGAGGCGGACAGCAAAACUCCGGCGCAAACCACUAAGGGCGGUGUGCGCAUCGCUCACGUGCCGCAAUCGAUACCUCAACUAGUACGACCGGAACCGCUUCAAGUCGCCACCCAGAAAUUUCCUUUGAACGUUCGCCAGUAUUAUAUUAAUAUUAUGCACGAUAUAUGCGUGCAAGUUUACACGAGCGGUGACGACGCAGCCGAGCGUGCUGUCAAAGAGGAGCUCGCGUGUCACGAUAGAUGUAAGGUGCUCCCGGUGUACAAAAAUGCGUGUAUAUUAGCGACUCACAGACUGAGGAAAGAAGUCGAUCAGAGCAAAUCGGGCGGGAAAUCCGCCGGAUCGAGCUGCGGUAUGGUAUCCCACGAGGCUGUACUCGCCGGCAAGUCGAAGGGUUCUUGGAGCGUAGUCAGAACCAAGAAGAACGUUAUAGAUUACAAAGGAUCCGCACUCUACAGUGUGCUGAAGAAGUGGAUCAUGUCGGAGGAUCAGCUCAGAGAAAACGGAUUUCCUCGCAAUCAUCCGGACGGUCCCAAGGGACGAGCGAAAGUAUACGUGAUAAAUUCGCGAAACCAAAGUGUUUUGUCAAAAGUGCCUAACGAAAGAAUGUGUAGUCGCUGUGGCCAAGCGUACAUGGUAGAUAGACACGGCUUCUCUGUACGGCAACAAAACUGUAUAUAUCAUUGGGGAAGAAAGUUCACGAUCAGAGGCGAGGGCAAGUACAGUUGUUGCCAACAAUACGGAUCCGCCUCUGGUUGUUGCGACGCAAAGACGCACGUAUGGGACUAUACGGAUUAUGAGAAUCUUCGCGGCUACGUUAAAACUUUGCCGAAAGAUGGCUCUGUGGAAGAACAAGGUGUCUACGCGCUCGAUUGUGAGAUGUGCUACACUACGUACGGCUUAGAAUUGACCAGAGUGACGGUCAUCAACGAUGAUUGCAACGUCAUAUAUGAAACAUUAGUGAAGCCACAAAAUCCAAUAAUCGAUUACAACACGAGGUUCUCAGGGAUCACGGAGGAAGAUAUGAAGAACGUGACGACGACUCUUUUGGACGUACAGGCUACGUUUCUUACAAUGUUCUCCGAUAAAACGAUCUUGGUGGGUCACAGUCUUGAGAGCGAUUUUAAAGCUUUAAGACUGCUCCAUGAUACUGUCGUGGACACCAGCGUUAUGUUUCCGCAUAAAAACGGAUACCCGCAAAAACGGGCAUUGAAAAAUCUUUGUUCCGAGUUUCUCAGAAAACUCAUACAAAAUGAUAUCGGCGGUCACGACAGUAAAGAGGAUGCCGUCUCUUGUAUGGAGUUAAUUCUGUGGAAAGUGAAGGAAGAAGCGAAACUGCAGUGAGCAGAACUGAAUUCAUAGAUUUCAAACGCAAGAACAAAUGCCAUCGCGUUUGCUGUACACCAGCCAUCUCUUUUGUAACGCGCGUUGAACGGUACAUACUCUACUGCCGCAGAGAUCCUUGAUUUGAGGAUUCCAGAAACGAGGAAAACGAAGAGCUGAAUAAACGCAAAGUGGUACACCAGUGAAUCUUACAUAACUUAAAAUCGCCCUACUUCUUCGACAUUUACAAUCACCUCAACAGCACAUCAAGCAAAUAUCAUGGCCGUUCUAAAAACUAAAAUGGGGAGAUCUGCGUCAAAAUAUUUCUCGACUACUAUGCUGCUCGACGAUUUCGUUUAACGAUUGAAAGCAUAAUUUCAGCUAGAGACAUCGUGAUUAUUACGCACCGGUGCUCCAUGCCUCGUCGUCGUCGUGAAACUCGUGAUUAACGUCGUAAUUGACUAACAGACGUCGACAUCAUUGUGUACCUGCGAAAGUCGAUCUACGACGUGAAGUGCCUAACCCUCUCUUCCGUUACAACUUUAACAGAACGCAGAACAGGAACAUAUUUCGGAACACUGCACGAUCUCUCUGUGUGUGUCGGAACCGUUACCGAAUGUAUUCUGUACAAGACGCACUUCUUAUAUUAACACGAUACUGUAUACAAAAUAUUUCUUUUUCUUCUCGCCGCUUAUAUUAUUGUCUGCACGUACGUCGUUCUAACUUACGGUGCAAACGCUAUAUUAGGUUACAGACAAUUUUCUUCAAGUGGUUAUGUUUCGUGAGAUUAUUACGUCGCGAGAUGUGCGAAUUUUUACGGUCCGGCGAUCGAGUGGUAGUAUCGUUCCGCUCCGCGAUAUCCUCCCCGUUACAAGUUUAUGUCGCACACAAAGAAAAUGACUAAAAUAUAUUGUUUCCGCUUGUUUCUUUUUUUUUUUAUUUGUAAAAGUCGGUUUUGUACAAUGGAUGCUAUACUCGUCCAACUUUACAUACAAAAUACUUUUCGUAUAUCCGUCCUCAGAUUGCAUAUUAUUGUCUGCGUAUUAUAGCACAUUUCUUCUCGUUAGUACAAUCAUUUAUGUUUGUAAGAAUUAACAAACGCAUGCGCAUAAAAAGAAAAAAUGAAGCUUUAUAUAACGUUCGCACAUUGACGCCACGAGCGAGAAACUCGUUGAAACAUUUGAGAGCGCUCAAUCAUCACACAUAAUCAAGUAUAUGCACGCGACUUGAUAGAGCUAACAUCGCGUCACAAAUAGGUGCGAGUUCGUGCUUUUUUCGGAUCUUACGCGAGAUCCCCCGACGCUGUUUCGAUCGCGUUGAUAAAGAAGCACCGUGAAGCAACGCUACCGUCAGACCUUCAAGGCGAGUGAAAAAUAUCUCGGCAGCGCGAACGUCGGACGAAUUUAUGCACUUGUUAAUUGUCGUGCACCCCCCCCCCCUUGUAAUUUCCUCCUUCCGGCGAAACGUAUUGUGCUAUCUCGAUCGAAUCUCGAUAUUGAACGCAGUUUUCACCGCAAAAGACACACGCGCGCGCACACGUGUUCGGAAAGCGCGUGUUGGCCGUUCUCUCGGCGGUACCGGAUAUCUGCUAUUAAUAGACGCACUGCAAUUCCAAUAGCAACGGUAAAGCGAUAAUACUGAGAAAGUAUGUGCCGAAAGGCGAUAGGAUGCGAAAAUCCUUCUCCCUGCCGCGAAGGCUAAAUAUUAGUCUUCGACGCGCGCGACGCCUCUACGGGGUAAUGCGCUAUACAAUAAUAUGUACAAGGGAAUAUGACGACACCUCUCUUCCCACGGGAUAUCCUAAUUUACGUACUAUACAAUGUGCUAUCGCAAGCCGACAGAUUUAUCGAACGAAGCUAACUUCGACCGAAGUAUCGCCGUCACAAUGAUAAAAAAAACCUUCUCGUCCGCCUCUUUGUUUGCCCCCUCUGUUUCUUUGAACACAAAAGCGUGUUGUCGUACGUAUGCCACGUUCGCAACGAUGUCAGGGUGAAUCAAAUUAUCUGUACAACUCGGUCGAUCGGUUGACCGCAACGAGACGUUAACUAAAUGCACUUUUCAGCUUCGUUAAAAUGCUGCCGAUCGCUGUCUCCUCGAAGCGGCGCUAUCGAGUCGUGAACGUCGAACGAUUUCGCCAAGGUUCAUCCUUGUCCGUCCUUUGCAAUUUCAGAAUUUGCUAUUUCGCUAGUAAUACUUCUAAGUGUGAUUUGAAUCGCGCACGCGCGAGCAAAAUUUGAAUUAGUUUCUGUCUGGUCUCUACGUCUCGAUUUUAGGCAUCAAGCUUCGACUAUCGCGUGUCCAUAUCGCGCGUAUACUUUUCGUCUGAUCCUUUCGAUAUAACAUCACGAUACAUCCGCAAAACAUCUAAUUCGCGCGUGAAACUUUAGAAAAUGGACUCGUGGCUUUGGGCUAAAUGAUGAUAGCCUAUAGUGAACGUGAAGUCAUUGAUCACUCUCUGUCACACGAGAUUCUGCGUUUUGCCAGCUCUCGAAUUUACCAGGAUUCGUGGCAAUCGAUUACCUUUUCGAUAGAUUCGGUCAAUUGAGAAGGGAAUUUGAAACUAGCUAUCUCUCUUCUUCUUCUCUGUGCAGGAGGAAGACUAAAUAUCGAUUGAACGCACCGCACGAGUUACGGCAGGAGUUUACGCGGCGGAUACUGUACUUGAAGAUCGAGCGAAUCCGAGAGCACCUAAAGAACUUCGAAAAAUAGGUCGCGUGGCAGCUUCUAAUAUCUAUCUAAAUUUCGUCGUAUACGAAGGCAACUAUUCGAAGACACAUACGCGUUGGUAUUACAACUACACGUACUCUUCUUCACCUCCCCCUCCCCCCGACACUUUCACGCGUGCUCCGUAGAAGAACCAGAAUUCUCGCUGAGCCUCGAUGGUUCACGGAGUCGUACACACGGAAUUGUGCCCCUCUUUUUCACUGACACAACACCCGGAAAAUAGAAAAAAAUCCCCGCCUCGAUUUUCAUUCGCGUUGCAGCGACAAAUUUGGUGCGUUCUUGCGGAUCUUGAAAAUCGCUCAACUCUGUUGUGAUAUCAACAAUUCUUAGGCUGUGAGUUACGCUAUACGGAAGAUAUUUCGCCAAAUAUAUCGCCGAGAAAAU